GUUAAAAAGCUCGUAGUUGGAUUUCUGGGAGGGUGCCAAUGUCCGCCGACGUGCGUGCGCAGCGGCGCCCUUCCAUCCUUCUGUUAACGCCUCUUGGCAUUCAUUUGCUGGUGGCGGGCUCAGGUAUUUUACCUUGAGAAAAUUAGAGUGUUUCAGGCAGGCUAGGCCGGAAUACAUUAGCAUGGAAUAAUGGAAUAGGACUACGGUCUCUUUGUUGGUUUGAGGGACUGCAGUAAUGAUUAAUAGGGAUAGUUGGGGGCAUUAGUAUUUAAUUGUCAGAGGUGGAAUUCUCGGAUUUGUUAAAGACUAACUUAUGCGAAAGCAUUUGCCAAGGAUGUUUUCAUUAAUCAAGAACGAAAGUUAGGGGAUCAAAGACGAUCAGAUACCGUCCUAGUCUUAACCAUAAACUAUGCCGACUCGGGAUCGGGGGCGCGAACUAUCCGCCUUCGGCACCGUAUGAGAAAUCAAAGUCUUUGGGUUCUGGGGGGAGAUAUGGUCGCAAGGCUGAAACUUAAAGGAAUUGACGGAAGGGCACCACC
This 539-nucleotide ribosomal RNA is filed under the name uncultured marine eukaryote. Its description in RNAcentral is "SSU rRNA". It matches the Rfam family "Eukaryotic small subunit ribosomal RNA", at positions 618 to 1171 of the family's 1831-position model. The record is from RNAcentral.